Long non-coding RNA from Fukomys damarensis (Damara mole-rat), 352 nucleotides. RefSeq lists it as uncharacterized. The record is from RefSeq and is a predicted model, not a curated record. The transcript has 3 exons. NCBI's taxonomy places the organism in Eukaryota, Metazoa, Chordata, Mammalia, Rodentia, Bathyergidae.
CGGGGUAACGCCCGAGAAGGUCCUCUGAGGCUACAGGAGGCUCCGAUCCAAAGAGGCAGCACAGAGGAAGCAGGCAUGUUCGUGUUGUGACGGCUGGACCACCACAAGUGGCACUCGAACAGGAACCUGAGUAUUGAGGGAUCCACUGAAGGACACUGCUGGAUAAAGAAUAAAAGGAGACCUCGACAAAAAGAAAACAGAGGACCUUCAAAAGGAAGGCAAAAGAGGAGCGGAACAUGAUGGAGCUCAAUGGUUACCAGAGAGAUUGGUUCAUCAUGUGGAUCAUUCUGACAAAUCUACAUCCAGCAAUAUUGGGCUUAUAUGCCUGAUAUUUAAUGACACAUCUCAAAAG